AACUGAUACUACCUGCGGGAACCUGCGGAAGGAUCAUUAAAGAGUUGCAAGACUCCCAAACCAUUGUGAACGUUACCCACACCGUUGCUUCGGCGGGCGGCCCGGGCCCUGCCCGGCGCCCCCCGGCCCCUCGCGGGCGCCCGCCGGAGGUAAACCAAACUCUUGAAUUGUAUGGCCUCUCUGAGUCUUCUGUACUGAAUAAGUCAAAACUUUUAACAAUGGAUCUCUAGAUCGGAAGAG
This 240-nucleotide unclassified non-coding RNA is filed under the name soil metagenome. RNAcentral's name for it is "partial contains 5.8S ribosomal RNA, internal transcribed spacer 2, and large subunit ribosomal RNA". The record is from RNAcentral.